This 253-nucleotide ribosomal RNA is filed under the name uncultured bacterium. RNAcentral's name for it is "partial 16S ribosomal RNA". It matches the Rfam family "Bacterial small subunit ribosomal RNA", at positions 524 to 776 of the family's 1533-position model. The record is from RNAcentral.
GACAGAGGUGCCAAGCGUUAGGCGGAAUCACUGGGCUUAAAGCGUGUGUAGGCGGAAUGGUAAGUACCUUGUGAAAUCCCACGGCUCAACCGUGGAACUGCUCGGUAUACCGCUUUUCUUGAGCCACUUAGGGGCUGUCGGAACAAACGGUGGAGCGGUGAAAUGCGUAGAUAUCGUUUGGAACGCCAAAGGUGAAAACAGACAGCUGGGAGUGUGCUGACGCUGAGACACGAAAGCCAGGGGAGCGAACGGG